This 76-nucleotide transfer RNA is filed under the name Erysipelotrichaceae bacterium. Its description in RNAcentral is "tRNA-Asp". It matches the Rfam family "tRNA". Rfam says of the family: Transfer RNA (tRNA) molecules are approximately 80 nucleotides in length. The record is from RNAcentral. Lineage: Bacteria; Bacillati; Bacillota; Erysipelotrichia; Erysipelotrichales; Erysipelotrichaceae.
GGUCCGGUGGUGUAGGGGUUAACAUGCCUCCCUGUCACGGAGGAGAUCGCGGGUUCAAAUCCCGUCCGGACCGCCA